GCUAAUAGUUGCCGCCUUUACUCUUGUAUCGGGGCGGCAAUUCUUCUUAGAGGGACUGGCGAUUAUUAGUCGCACGAGAUUGAGCAAUAACAGGUCUGUGAUGCCCUUAGAUGUUCUGGGCCGCACACGCGCUACACUGAAUCAAUCAGCUAGUUUUUUUCCCACUCCGAGAGGAGCGGGUAAACUGUUGAACCUGAUUCGUGGUAGGGAUCGGGGCUUGCAAUUGUUCCCCGUGAACCAGGAAUUCCCAGUAGGCGCUAGUCAUAAGCUAGCGUCGAUUACGUCCCUGCCCUUUGUACACACCGCCCGUCGCUACUACCGAUUGAGUGUUUUAGUGAGGUCCUCGGAUUGCUUGCCUGGUGGCUCACGCUGCCUAGCAGACGAGAAGACGACCAAACUGUAGCACUUAGAGGAAGUAAAAGUCGUAACAAGGUAU
Molecule: ribosomal RNA, 436 nt
Filed under: Centropages orsinii
Lineage: Eukaryota; Metazoa; Arthropoda; Copepoda; Calanoida; Centropagidae
Description: bacterial SSU rRNA
Rfam family: Eukaryotic small subunit ribosomal RNA
Source: RNAcentral